UUUUUUUUUUCUUUUUUUUUUUUUUUUUUUGGUUUUCGAGACAGAGUUUCUCUGUGUAGCUCUGGCUGUCCUGGAACUCACUCUGUAGACCUCGAACUCAGAAAUCCACCUGCCUCUGCCUCCCAAGUGCUGGGAUUAAAGGCAUGCGCCAUCACUGCCUGGCUUUAAAUUAUUUCUUAAUCGGCUAAAAUACCUCUAGAUGCUAGUUGUAAAAUUCAAGGCCUUCCUAUGUAUCCCUACUGUUAUGGAUCAUAAUAAUGUAUCAAAUACUUGAAAAUUACUUAUGAGACCUUAUUUUAGUGUUCUUAUCACAAAAAAAGGUAUGUAGGAUGAUGAAUAUGUUAUUCUUCAUUUUGCUACUCCAAGAUUUACGCAAAUAUCAACACUUUUCUGUAUAGCAAAAAUAUAUGCACUUAAAAAUCUGGCAGGUAACAAUAAUAAUAUCUUGUUACCCAAGUCUGUGUUAUGAUCUGAGUCCUCCAUAGGCUCCUAUGCUUGAACUCUUGGUCUCUAGUUCAUGGCACUGUUUUGGGAGUCUGUGGGUUCUUUGGGGACUUGGGGGCCAGCUGGUGGAAAUAGAUCACAAGUGAUGGGUCUUGGUGGUGUUAUCUGUUUCUGAUUCCAGUCUGUGUCCUGUGCUUCAACUGGCCAUGCCUGAGAGACCCUCUACCACAGGCUCUCAACACCAUGCCCUUCCCUCUCUGAUGGACUGGGACUACUGACAUCACCAGCCAAAAGAAAUCUUUGCUCCUACAGGUUGUUUCUGGCAGUUAUUUUGUAACAGGCACAAGAAAAAAUAGCUGAGAGAGUCUUCUUAGGCUCAUCUAAAGCGUGCUGCUCAUCUACAUAAUGAGUAGACCCACAGAGCUUCAUUGUGGAUGUGUAUAAAACUGUUUGUAAGCUGGGAUUAAAGAAGAGGACCUUGGCAUAAUCUAAGUAAGAGUUCUAUGGAGGCAUGAGCAAAUUAAAGGACUGUAAUGGUUUGAAUAGGUAUGGCCCCCAUAGACUCAUGUGUUUAAAUGUUUGGCUCAUAGGGAGUGUCACUAUUAGGAGGUGUGGCCUUGUUGGAUUAGGUGUGGUCUUGUUGGAAGAAGUGUGUCAUUGUGGAGGCAGGCUUUGCAGUCUCAUAUAUGCUAAAGUCUGUCUAAUGACAGUUUCUUACCUGCUGCCUUCGGAUCAAGAUGUAGAACUCUCAGCUCCUCGAGCACCAUAUCUGUCUGCAUGCUACUAUGCUUCCUGCCAUGAAGAUAAUGAACUAAACCUCUAAAACUAUAAGCCAGACCCAAUGAAAUGUUUUUCUUUGUAAAGAGUUGCCUUGGUCAUGGUGUCUCUUCACGGCAGUAAAACCCUAACUAACUAAGACAAGGACCAAAGUCCAUUUGUCAUGGCUGUGAUAGAAUAUCUGUGCGUUUUAUCCCUACAGGGUGGGGAUAUAGCUAGAGGUGAGAUCAGAGAAAAAGAAGGCAAGACUAUGAUCCGUAAGGCCUUAGCAGUCGCAGUAGCAUUGCCUUUAUUCUGAGAGGUUAAGGUCUUUUCUCUCCCCGCCUCCCCAAGCAUUACACAAUUGCAUUUACCUUUUGGAGAAACUGUGAAGCUGAAAUGAGUUUCAGGUGGCGAAGUUGGAGGAGGAACUUGAAUUAACAAGCAGUUGUGGUGAUUCAGGUAGAAGCUGAGGUUGCUGAGCAGCCAUGAUGAAGAGACAGAGGAUGAAGGGUUUGGAAGGUCUGUGGGAACAUUGGUGAUGGGUUUGGUUUGUUAGAGGGAGGAAGGAAGGGAAAGAGAGAGAG
Molecule: long non-coding RNA, 1787 nt
Filed under: Mus musculus (house mouse)
Lineage: Eukaryota; Metazoa; Chordata; Mammalia; Rodentia; Muridae
Description: long non-coding RNA chr7:122361998-122363785
Source: RNAcentral